Molecule: ribosomal RNA, 37 nt
Filed under: Borya constricta
Lineage: Eukaryota; Viridiplantae; Streptophyta; Magnoliopsida; Asparagales; Boryaceae
Description: partial 26S ribosomal RNA
Source: RNAcentral
GACCCCAGGUCAGGGGGGGCCACCCGCCGAGUUUAAG